This 206-nucleotide ribosomal RNA is filed under the name uncultured bacterium. RNAcentral describes it as "partial 16S ribosomal RNA". It matches the Rfam family "Bacterial small subunit ribosomal RNA", at positions 568 to 774 of the family's 1533-position model. The record is from RNAcentral.
CGUGUAGGCGGUUUGUACAGUCAGAUGUGAAAUCCCCGGGCUUAACCUGGGAGCUGCAUUUGAGACGUGCAGACUAGAGUGUGAGAGAGGGUUGUGGAAUUCCCAGUGUAGAGGUGAAAUUCGUAGAUAUUGGGAAGAACACCGGUGGCGAAGGCGGCACCUGGCUCAUUACUGACGCUGAGGCGCGAAAGCGUGGGGAGCAAACA